GCGAACGAACAGGGAUAAGCUCAGGUUGGAAACCAGGGCCCUGGUCCUGGGUUGUAGCCUGCAGACGUAGCGCUAUCGGCGGCUUGAGCGAAAGCCUCUUGGAACAGAGCGUGUGCCCAGGUGAGAAUCCUGUGUUUCGCUUGAAGUCCGCCGUGUACGGUGCUCGCUCUCAAAGUCACGCUCCUCGGAAUUGGAGCGUAAAUCAGGUGGUAGAUUUCAUCUAAAGCCAAAUACAGACCUGAGACCGAUAGUGAACAAGUACCAUGAGGGAAAGAUGAAAAGGACUUUGGAAAGAGAGUUAAGAGUGCUUGAAAUCGCUGAAAGGGGAGCGAAUGGAACCACAUGCUUGCUGAGAUUGCUGCCAAUGCUUGUGAGCCCUGGUCAUUAAAGCGCAAGCUUCUUGUCUAGGAGUGAGUUGGCAUUUGUAGUGCUUCUUAGCUUGCGCGUC
This 448-nucleotide ribosomal RNA is filed under the name Symbiodinium sp. strain Penghu Islands E. Its description in RNAcentral is "LSU rRNA". It matches the Rfam family "Eukaryotic large subunit ribosomal RNA", at positions 89 to 544 of the family's 3401-position model. Lineage: Eukaryota; Dinophyceae; Suessiales; Symbiodiniaceae. The record is from RNAcentral.